GACGAACGCUGGCGGCGUGCUUAACACAUGCCAGUCGAACGGUGAAGCGAGUGCUUGCACUCGUGGAUCAGUGGCGAACGGGUGAGUAACACGUGAGUAACCUGCCCAUCACUCUGGGAUAAGCACUGGAAACGGUGUCUAAUACUGGAUACGACCAACCCUUGCAUGGGGUGUUGGUGGAAAGAUUUAUCGGUGAUGGAUGGACUCGCGGCCUAUCAGCUUGUUGGCGGGGUAAUGGCCCACCAAGGCGACGACGGGUAGCCGGCCUGAGAGGGUGACCGGCCACACUGGGACUGAGACACGGCCCAGACUCCUACGGGAGGCAGCAGUGGGGAAUAUUGCACAAUGGGCGCAAGCCUGAUGCAGCGACGCCGCGUGAGGGAUGACGGCCUUCGGGCUGUAAACCUCUUUCAGCAGGGAAGAAGCGAAAGUGACGGUACCUGCAGAAGAAGCACCGGCUAACUACGUG
RNAcentral lists this ribosomal RNA (469 nucleotides) under uncultured bacterium. RNAcentral describes it as "partial 16S ribosomal RNA". It matches the Rfam family "Bacterial small subunit ribosomal RNA", at positions 28 to 507 of the family's 1533-position model. The record is from RNAcentral.